ACGGGUGAGUAACGCGUGGGAACGUGCCUUCCGGUUCGGAAUAACCCUGGGAAACUAGGGCUAAUACCGGAUACGCCCUUAUGGGGAAAGGUUUACUGCCGGAAGAUCGGCCCGCGUCUGAUUAGCUAGUUGGUGGGGUAACGGCCUACCAAGGCGACGAUCAGUAGCUGGUCUGAGAGGAUGAUCAGCCACACUGGGACUGAGACACGGCCCAGACUCCUACGGGAGGCAGCAGUGGGGAAUAUUGGACAAUGGGCGCAAGCCUGAUCCAGCCAUGCCGCGUGAGUGAUGAAGGCCUUAGGGUUGUAAAGCUCUUUUAUCCGGGACGAUAAUGACGGUACCGGAGGAGUAAGCCCCGGCUAACUUCGUGCCAGCAGCCGCGGUAAUACGAAGGGGGCUAGCGUUGCUCGGAAUCACUGGGCGUAAAGGGCGCGUAGGCGGCGUUUUAAGUCGGGGGUGAAAGCCUGUGGCUCAACCACAGAAUGGCCUUCGAUACUGGGACGCUUGAGUAUGGUAGAGGUUGGUGGAACUGCGAGUGUAGAGGUGAAAUUCGUAGA
RNAcentral lists this ribosomal RNA (557 nucleotides) under uncultured Methylobacterium sp. Its description in RNAcentral is "bacterial SSU rRNA". It matches the Rfam family "Bacterial small subunit ribosomal RNA", at positions 102 to 694 of the family's 1533-position model. The record is from RNAcentral. Lineage: Bacteria; Pseudomonadati; Pseudomonadota; Alphaproteobacteria; Hyphomicrobiales; Methylobacteriaceae.